CUACGGGAGGCAGCAGUGGGGAAUAUUGGACAAUGGGCGCAAGCCUGAUCCAGCCAUGCCGCGUGAGUGAUGAAGGCCUUAGGGUUGUAAUGCUCUUUUAGCAGGGAAGAUAAUGACGGUACCUGCAGAAUAAGCCCCGGCUAACUUCGUGCCAGCAGCCGCGGUAAUACGAAGGGGGCUAGCGUUGUUCGGAAUUACUGGGCGUAAAGCGCACGUAGGCGGAUUGCCAAGUCAGGGGUGAAAUCCCGGGGCUCAACCUCGGAACUGCCUUUGAUACUGUCAGUCUAGAGUCCGGAAGAGGUGGGUGGAAUUCCUAGUGUAGAGGUGAAAUUCGCAGAUAUUAGGAAGAACACCGGUGGCGAAGGCGGCCCACUGGUCCGGAACUGACGCUGAGGUGCGAAAGCGUGGGGAGCAAACAGGAUUAGAAACCCGAGUAGUCC
RNAcentral lists this ribosomal RNA (440 nucleotides) under uncultured bacterium. RNAcentral describes it as "bacterial SSU rRNA". It matches the Rfam family "Bacterial small subunit ribosomal RNA", at positions 339 to 796 of the family's 1533-position model. The record is from RNAcentral.